Molecule: long non-coding RNA, 933 nt
Organism: Solanum lycopersicum (tomato)
Lineage: Eukaryota; Viridiplantae; Streptophyta; Magnoliopsida; Solanales; Solanaceae
Source: RefSeq, a predicted model, not a curated record
ACCCAUUACAGUAUAAAAAAAUGAUCCCAACGGCGUCAAUUCCAGGUUAAAGAUAGACGAAAACCAACUACUUUCAUGUGUCUUCUACCUCUCUCUGCCCCCAGUACAAUUACGUACGAAGAACACUGCGGAUAGCGAGAUCUCGUGCAUCUUCUCAUCGUUGUUCGAAAUCAAGCGCCCAGAUCGUUGUUCCAUGGAGGAAUUGUGCAAUUUUGUAUAGAUUCCAAGAUGUCCAACCUUAGCUCUUAAGAUAAUACAAAAUUUGAAUUUGGAAUUGGUCCUGAUUUUCCCCCAUUUUCCCAAAAGACCUCCGCUGUUUAAAUCCCAUUCUAAUUUUUUGAUAGAGGCUGGGGGAAGUAUGGGAAAAGAUUUUCGGGUAGAGAGAUUUUUGGGAGGUAGGAAAAUUUGUAGAUAUAAAAUACAUAGAAUUUAAGUAAAACGGCAAGAACAUAUUGCAAAACACAUCAAAGAAAACGGUCCAGUUUCUGAGAAGGCUAGUUGUUGGUUUGACUUGUAAAUUUCCGCAAGGAUUUCUUGUUUGUGAUUUCACUUUAAUGGUGGAAGGAUUACAAGUGCUAGCUCGCUGUCUCUGUUUGUUGUAACGGAAAAGUUCACUAUGAAUUCUUUUCUUCGUCUCACAUUCCUAUAGAGAGCCGCCAAGUCUCAAAUUCCUCUAUCGAGUCAAGCUGACCAGACGACGUACGAACCGAGAAGUUGAAGAUUUUUGCUUGGAAAGCCCAAUUUGUUUCCCUGAACUACGUAUUUUGUUAUUUUUGGGUCUAAGCCCUUUUUUCCUUUAUCAAUAUUGUAUUGUUAGAAUUUCAGAACCUGGGGAUAUGGGCUAAAGGCCCAAAACAAGUUUUAGCCUAUGUUUUAGCCUAUCAAUAUUGUUGUUUUUGAAUAUGUUUCUCUAUUUGAAGAUGUUCUAGCCUA